Molecule: transfer RNA, 65 nt
Filed under: Planorbella pilsbryi
Lineage: Eukaryota; Metazoa; Mollusca; Gastropoda; Planorbidae
Description: tRNA-Asn
Source: RNAcentral
UUUAAGUAAAGCAUUUAUUGCAUUUAACUGUUAAUUAAAAGAAACUACUUUAUAGUUACUUAAAU